RNAcentral lists this transfer RNA (70 nucleotides) under Anguilla anguilla (European eel). It matches the Rfam family "tRNA". From Rfam's summary of the family: Transfer RNA (tRNA) molecules are approximately 80 nucleotides in length. Their secondary structure includes four short double-helical elements and three loops (D, anti-codon, and T loops). The record is from Rfam by way of RNAcentral. Lineage: Eukaryota; Metazoa; Chordata; Actinopteri; Anguilliformes; Anguillidae.
GCAUUGGUGGCUCAGUGGUAGAGCUCUCGCCUGCCACGCUGGAGGCCGGGUUCAUUUCCUGGCCAAUGCU